CCGAUUCACUCUUAUUUAUAUUUUCAUGAUGGACAUCAAGGUCGAUACAACAAAACGACCAAGAUUUUAACUAUACUUGGCUACCACCCAAAAAGGACUCGAUUCUACAUCGAACAUGUACCACCCUCCAUCAACGAGCGUCGGCUAUCUCCAAAAGGUGUCAGCUCCCAACAGCUAUACGCGCCAUCAUACCCAAUCCGAUGCAUCGGGUGGCGGCGGCGAUAACAUCCCUAACAUCUCUCCAUCAUGUCAGACAUGGACAUAUAUAAACUCCUGGAUGACCGGGCCAUCAGCUCGACCCACGUCGUACAUC
RNAcentral lists this long non-coding RNA (313 nucleotides) under Eucalyptus grandis. Its description in RNAcentral is "long non-coding RNA (EGRA_LNC002750)". The record is from RNAcentral. Lineage: Eukaryota; Viridiplantae; Streptophyta; Magnoliopsida; Myrtales; Myrtaceae.